This 402-nucleotide ribosomal RNA is filed under the name Salpingoeca fusiformis. RNAcentral's name for it is "partial small subunit ribosomal RNA". It matches the Rfam family "Eukaryotic small subunit ribosomal RNA", at positions 30 to 432 of the family's 1831-position model. Lineage: Eukaryota; Choanoflagellata; Craspedida; Salpingoecidae. The record is from RNAcentral.
GCUUGUCUCAAAGAUUAAGCCAUGCAUGUCUAAGUAUAAACGAUUUUAUACGUGAAACUGCGAAUGGCUCAUUAUAUCAGUUAUAGUUUAUUUGAUGGUCCUUACUAUUUGGAUAACCGUAGUAAUUCUAGAGCUAAUACAUGCGAAAAGACCCGACUUUUUGGAAGGGUUGUAUUUAUUAGAUACAAAACCAAUGCGGAGCAAUCCGGUUUUUGGCGAGUCAUAAUAACUUUGCGGAUCGCAUGGCCUUGCGCCGGCGAUGAAUCAUUCAAAUUUCUGCCCUAUCAACUUUCGAUGGUAAGGUAUUGGCCUACCAUGGUUACCACGGGUAACGGGGAAUUAGGGUUCGGUUCCGGAGAGGGGGCCUGAGAAAUGGCCACCACAUCCAAGGAAGGCAGCAGG